RNAcentral lists this long non-coding RNA (2165 nucleotides) under Lactuca sativa (garden lettuce). Its description in RNAcentral is "long non-coding RNA (LSAT_LNC007651)". Lineage: Eukaryota; Viridiplantae; Streptophyta; Magnoliopsida; Asterales; Asteraceae. The record is from RNAcentral.
UAGUUUUUGUGUGUCUCCUAAUAACACAUUAAUGGACUCGGUGUUGUUUGAUGUCAUAAUAUUAUACCAAACCAUAAGAACCCAACCUUGCCUAUUUCAAGUAGUUGAUUCCAUCUAUCCAUGUAUGGCAAUCUUCGUUUAGAGCACGACGUAGCCUAUCCAAGCUUUCUUGAAAUUAGACUCUCGGUAAGCUUUUACAGCCUCCCAAAACAAAAUCUAUGUUCAUAAUAUGUGUUCAGAAACACAGCUUGAAUGUUCAUUUCAAUUGAAUUUGCUAUAUCUUAUAUGAUAUCCAAAGAAGGUUGUCUCCAAUAUAUUCUUUAAGUCUUGAUAAAAACCAUAUCCAUGACCCCCAACUUCAAUUUUCCCAACACCAAAUCCAAUAGGAAGGAUUUGGUUAUUAUCAUCCAUGCUUACUGCUAGGAACAUAAACCUAAGUAUUUCCCUUUAAGGUGUGCCCUAUCAAUGCUAAUAAUAUGACGCAAACAUGUUUGAAACGCUCAAACCUACAAAAUACAAACCUACAAAAUAAUUAUUACCAUCAUCAACCAACAGCAUUAACUUUUGUUGAUCAUUUGCUGAUUCAUCAACAUUAACUCAUUAAGAGACAUCAAUAACCUUACCUUUAUACAUAUAAUCACCCAAUCUAUAAAAUAAAGUUAUUGGUAGAAGAAACAUGGUUGGUUGUCAUAGUUAAUUAAUUACAAAUUUAAUUGCUUCCAACACACCCAUUUCCACCAGAACAAUUUUCCCCGACAAAUUGAUGAAUACCACAAACUCAAAAAUCUACAUAACUAUAUUUGAUCAAAAAAAAAAAUUGAUAGUUUGAUAUGUUGACAUCCUCUUCCAUUAGAAAGAUUCUAACCAAGUCACCACAUGUUGCACCAUGUCCAUAUCUACAAACCAAACAUUUUUCCAAAGGCUAACCCCUAACCAAACCUUGAGAGAAGUUUCACAUUUAAAAAACCAAAACGAUUAUUGCCUUCAAAUUCAUAGUCACAUAACCGGCAUAAGAGAGAUGAAAUAUCCAAGACUCGCCUAUCUAGAUAAGCUAAGCUACAACAAUGACAUUUUUUCCUUAGUAAAACGAUGCAUCCGACAAAAUCGUAGAGGAAUUCAAGUUCACAUCAACUAGCAAAGAUGGAAAGGUAUUUAUCUGUUGCUUUUGUCCACGUCAUUCGUUAUUUUUUUCUCUUUCAAAUUCCAAUUCAAAUUAGUUCAUGUUCUGCAAAAUGUAUGUGUAUUCGUUUGUACAUUAACUGAAUUUUAAACAAAAAAAUUGUUAUAUCAAAAAGAUUAUAUAACUGAAUGGUAAAGAAAUUAAUCAGUUAUGUGUAACUGUGUAUAAGUUAAAGAAAUAAGCCGGAAAAAAUGCAGAAUUCAUCAAGCCAUCGUUUUUAACAAUUGAAAUACAAUUCGUGAAGAUUGAAACGCGAAUUUGCCAACAAUAGCUCAAUCAAUGAGGGUUCCACAAUAACACAAGCAAAACUUUCGAUUCAAGUGUAUAAAUUUUCAGAAAUGACUCUUAUCUUUUGGUAUCUAAUUUUUUUUUUUCGAAUUUUCAAAAAUCUGGACCUAAACAAGUGAGGAUAUUUGAUUUGUUGGGUACAUAUGAGGCAGUUCCCUGAAUUAAACACGACGGAAAAACAAGGAGAAACGUGCAAACCCUUGAGGCUGCCCCCAUGAUAUCCAUAUAUUGAUAUAGGCCGGGUGAAAUAGAGAUCUCGCUUUCUUAUUCAUCGCGAGAUCCCAUUGGAUCGGCCAUUCAUAGCUCUAUUUGAAGCUGAUUUACAGUGAAAUAAUGGAGGAAACUACAUUCCCUGAUAUAUAUUUGAAGGAAAAGUUUGGGAAUUUAAGAUUGGAAAGCAUGUAAAACCUCGAUUUGAGCAAAAGCAAGUGAGAAGCUCGCUUCGACGGAGUAAACCAAGGGCUGAUUUGUUAUAUGCCGGCAACGGAACUCAGGCGACAUGGCCGAAAGGCGCUCGACUGGUUCUCUCAAAAGGCAAUGUGAAGUUGAAGAAGAAUGUGUUUGCUAUUUAUCCCGAUUGUAAUCUUUCAAUUUCGUAACCCUAAGGCCCAAUUUGAUUCAAUAAAAUUGGGUUGUUAUACUUAUAUAUGGGCCUCUUUUACACUUUAAAAGCUCUUCACUUCUUUUUGUAUUUUUG